UAGGGAAUCUUCCGCAAUGGACGCAAGUCUGACGGAGCAACGCCGCGUGAGUGAAGAAGGAUUUCGGUUCGUAAAACUCUGUUGUUAGAGAAGAACAGCGCAUAGAGUAACUGUUAUGCGUGUGACGGUAUCUAACCAGAAAGCCACGGCUAACUACGUGCCAGCAGCCGCGGUAAUACGUAGGUGGCAAGCGUUGUCCGGAUUUAUUGGGCGUAAAGCGAGCGCAGGCGGUCGAUUAAGUCUGAUGUGAAAGCCCCCGGCUCAACCGGGGAGGGUCAUUGGAAACUGGUUGACUUGAGUGCAGAAGAGGAGAGUGGAAUUCCAUGUGUAACGGUGAAAUGCGUAGAUAUAUGGAGGAACACCAGUGGCGAAGGCGACUCUCUGGUCUGUAACUGACGCUGAGGCUCGAAAGCGUGGGUAGCAAACAGG
Molecule: ribosomal RNA, 429 nt
Filed under: Bacteroidota bacterium
Lineage: Bacteria; Pseudomonadati; Bacteroidota
Description: Bacteroidetes bacterium partial 16S ribosomal RNA
Rfam family: Bacterial small subunit ribosomal RNA
Source: RNAcentral